Molecule: ribosomal RNA, 497 nt
Filed under: uncultured bacterium
Lineage: Bacteria
Description: partial 16S ribosomal RNA
Rfam family: Bacterial small subunit ribosomal RNA
Source: RNAcentral
GACGAACGCUGGCGGCGUGCCUAAUACAUGCAAGUUGAGCGCUGAAGGUUGGUACUUGUACCAACUGGAUGAGCAGCGAACGGGUGAGUAACGCGUGGGGAAUCUGCCUUUGAGCGGGGGACAACAUUUGGAAACGAAUGCUAAUACCGCAUAAAAACUUUAAACACAAGUUUUAAGUUUGAAAGAUGCAAUUGCAUCACUCAAAGAUUAUCCCGCGUUGUAUUAGCUAGUUGGUGAGGUAAAGGCUCACCAAGGCGAUGAUACAUAGCCGACCUGAGAGGGAGAUCGGCCACAUUGGGACUGAGACACGGCCCAAACUCCUACGGGAGGCAGCAGUAGGGAAUCUUCGGCAAUGGACGAAAGUCUGACCGAGCAACGCCGCGUGAGUGAAGAAGGUUUUCGGAUCGUAAAACUCUGUUGGUAGAGAAGAACGUUGGUGAGAGUGGAAAGCUCAUCAAGUGACGGUAACUACCCAGAAAGGGACGGCUAACUACGUG